CCCACAUAACACCGUCUCAACAUCUCUUUCAUCCUCUCUUUUUAUUCAGCCCCCAACCUACUUCCAUAUUAUUUCUUAUUAACCUCUCCCACAUAACACCGCUCCCAAAUAACACCAUCCCAACAUCUCUUUCAUCCUAUCUCUUUUUAUCACGCAAACAAUCCUACUAAUUUUAAUAGUUGAAGCUUACGAUUGGAAUCAAAGUUCCAUUUUUGUAUUUUUGGUCGAUUGUUGAUUUGUUAUCCCGGUAGGAAGCUUUUUCUAGAUUUUUGUCCAGCAUAUCUUUUUUACUUAAUCUGCAUGUUAUUUCUUAUAGUUGCUGAAAGUUCCAGAUCCGGAACUUCCUCGAUUCCGAUUUAGAUGAGAAACAAUGAAGAAAGUGCUUCAUCAAAUCAUCCAUGUAUCUCCUCCAACAACUAUCCCACUUCGCCUGAUCUGCAACGAGCGAUCCACUUGUGGUUCUGCUAGCCGAAUUCUCCGCGGUGCUAGUACGUUUCCACUCGGGUGGUUCAGAUAAUGAUCAAGAAGGUUGAGCCCACAAAGUUGCUUACAACAUGGCUUGAGCCAUGUUCAUCAAAGGAGCCGUGCAGCUGUGGGAUUUUCCAAGUCUUAGCUGAAAAGCCUCAACUUCGCAAAGUUGAGAUUUAUCCGAGAAAUGGUCAACUGUUGGCAAUUUGCAAGAACUGGGCGCUGGGAUGUUGCAUGGGAAUCACUUCGAGCUCCUCAGAGGCACCCGCAACUCGAAACCGGAGGCACCCGGUUCAAGAUCAUAUUUCAGGGACGUAAUUGCCUCUAUUUCGGAUAAUAAAUUUGGGAACAUGACUCUAAAGAUUAAUUUUCAAGCAUCAAAGAAAGGAGAGAGUGUAUAAGAUUACUCUGAAGAUGAGAUGAAUUAUUGUAAAGAGUAAGAGAAGAGUUGAAGCUCUUUUCACAUUUUUGAGAA
Molecule: long non-coding RNA, 943 nt
Organism: Daucus carota subsp. sativus
Lineage: Eukaryota; Viridiplantae; Streptophyta; Magnoliopsida; Apiales; Apiaceae
Exons: 3
Source: RefSeq, a predicted model, not a curated record